RNAcentral lists this ribosomal RNA (237 nucleotides) under uncultured Pseudomonas sp. RNAcentral's name for it is "partial 16S ribosomal RNA". It matches the Rfam family "Bacterial small subunit ribosomal RNA", at positions 1147 to 1382 of the family's 1533-position model. Lineage: Bacteria; Pseudomonadati; Pseudomonadota; Gammaproteobacteria; Pseudomonadales; Pseudomonadaceae. The record is from RNAcentral.
GACUGCCGGUGACAAACCGGAGGAAGGUGGGGAUGACGUCAAGUCAUCCAUGGCCCUUACGGCCUGGGCUACACACGUGCUACAAUGGUCGGUACAAAGGGUUGCCAAGCCGCGAGGUGGAGCUAAUCCCAUAAACCGAUCGUAGUCCGGAUCGCAGUCUGCAACUCGACUGCGUGAAGUCGGAAUCGCUAGUAAUCGUGAAUCAGAAUGUCACGGUGAAUACCGUUCCCGGGCCUU